GGAUGUGAGGGCGAUCUGGCUGCGACAUCUGUCACCCCAUUGAUCGCCAGGGUUGAUUCGGCUGAUCUGGCUGGCUAGGCAGGUGUCCCCUUCCUCCCUCACCGCUCCAUGUGCGUCCCUCCCGAAGCUGCGCGCUCGGUCGAAGAGGACGACCAUCACUGAUAGAGGAGGACCUUUCUUCGGUCAAGGGUAUACGAGUAGCUGCGCUCCCCUGCUAGAACCUCCAAACAAGCUCUCAAAAAAGAAAGAGCACUAGUUUAGGAUAAUGGGGACCUGUAUAUUUUGGUACAUGUGAGAAGUUAGCAUUUAU
Molecule: small nuclear RNA, 310 nt
Filed under: Castor canadensis (American beaver)
Lineage: Eukaryota; Metazoa; Chordata; Mammalia; Rodentia; Castoridae
Description: 7SK RNA (ENSCCNG00000027759.1)
Rfam family: 7SK RNA
About the family: 7SK was discovered as an abundant small nuclear RNA in the mid-70s but a possible function has only recently been suggested. Two independent studies have found that 7SK RNA binds the CDK9/cyclin T complex (known as elongation factor P-TEFb).
Source: RNAcentral